CUCAGUUCAGAUUGCAGGCUGCAACUCGCCUGCAUGAAGUCGGGAUUGCUAGUAAUCGUAGGUCAGCAUACUACGGUGAAUACGUUCCCGGGCCUUGUACACACCGCCCGUCAAACCAUGAGAGUUGGCAACACCCGAAGUCGGUAGUCUAACCGCAAGGAGGACGCCGCCGAAGGUGGGGUUGAUGAUUAGGGUUAAGUCGUAACAAGGUAAC
Molecule: ribosomal RNA, 214 nt
Filed under: uncultured bacterium
Lineage: Bacteria
Description: partial 16S ribosomal RNA
Rfam family: Bacterial small subunit ribosomal RNA
Source: RNAcentral